This 85-nucleotide transfer RNA is filed under the name Lentinula aciculospora. It matches the Rfam family "tRNA". From Rfam's summary of the family: Transfer RNA (tRNA) molecules are approximately 80 nucleotides in length. Their secondary structure includes four short double-helical elements and three loops (D, anti-codon, and T loops). Lineage: Eukaryota; Fungi; Basidiomycota; Agaricomycetes; Agaricales; Omphalotaceae. The record is from Rfam by way of RNAcentral.
CCGACCAUAGCUCAGUUGGAAGAGCAUAAGACUGUAAUUGGUUAUAUAUAUCUUGGGGUCGCCUGUUCGAACCAGGCUGGUCGGA